GCAACCGGAAGUGAUGUGUCACGGAGCAUUCCUGGAGAUGUAGUUUAGACUACCUACAGACGGUGGUAAAAUUUUCCGUCCUCCGCCCUCCAUGGAAAAGGGUUGGGUGGUGGGAAAGUGUAAAAAGCUAGUUCGGAAACCUGCGCACGACAACAUGGAGGCCCAAGUCACCUACGACCACAGUGGCGACAAACCCGCCGUCGUGAGCCUAGCCCGUCUCCGCAGUAACCGGUUUGCGCUGAGGACUCCGGGAGUUGUAGUUGGGAAGAAGCCGGCUCCGCGCCAGGACAGCCAAGCCGAUACCGGUUAGCGUUCGCCUCUACUGGCCAUAGGCGGACUCCGCGGACAGAGCGAGCAGCCCGACUUGCUCUUCAGACGGACUGAGAACAAGGAGUUCACCGCCCAUCAGUGACUUUCUGAAAGAGGCUCCUGUGAACAACUUCACACAGGCACCAAACUAGGAACCACCUGGGAAUGUUCCUUUCUCUUCCCUGGCAGCAGAGAAGCUGAGCCGUGGCCUUCCCUUCCUAAGAUCAGAAUCAGAGGCGCGAUUUAAACUCCUUGCAAAGGAACUGCAUCACUUCAUUUGGAUUCUCCACAGCACCUCUGAGCAUGAAACACCCUGGGACGAGGCUGUCUCCACAGCUGCGGACACAGGGGUCCAAGCAGAUGAUUCAGGGAGCUUGCCUUUGAUGAAGAUGCAGCCUGCCUCUUCUGGGAUGCUUGUCCCUCAUUCUCUUCAAGGUUACACAAGGAGGAAGACCUCCAAACUCGGGGCCCUGGACAGCACCCCAUGAGGACCACCUCAUUGCAGACAAUGUAGUCAUUUCUUCACUAUGAAUUCUUAGGAUCUAAUACCUAAGAGAGGAACUUGAAUGGGGAACUCUGCCACCUUCUGCACACCUGCAGCUUUCUUUCCCAGUAUGAAUUCUCAAAGCUGAAUCAGGCUGGGUCAACUGGAGACUGUCCCAUUUUCUUUGCACUUGUAAGUUUUCUUCUUCAGUAGCAUUUCCUUGCUGAUGGGAAAAGGAAGGCUGAACUUUCUCCAGUUUCCUGCAGGCUUUGCACCAACAGGCUGUCUUUCCUCUACCCUCUAAAUUAUUUGAUGCUGAAGAAAUUUCCCACUUUCCCAGAAUGCUUUGCCACCUAAGCUACAAUUGUCUGGUUUGUUUGUUCCUGCAUGAAGGUGAUGCUGUAUUGUCCCAGGUUUGCACACCAGCUGGAAAGCCUCUGACAGACAUUACACAGGGCCUCUCUCCACCCAAUUCUCCGGUGCCUAAGUAGCCCUGGGUCCAGCUGAAGACUUUUCCAUUCCCUUUAUGGUCGUCUGGUUUCCCUCUAGUGUAAAUACCCUGAUUUAUGUUGAAAAAGAUGUGUGAAUGAAAUAAAAGAUUUCCCAGGUUCAAAACAUUCAAAGGUGUCUCUCUAAAAUCAAUUAUCAUAUUCUGAAUUAUUUUUUUUUCUAGAAGUUUCUUUGCAUUGACCAUUUUCCUCUCCCGUGUGAAUUGCUGAGUAUUGUUGAAGGUUUGGACUUUAUAGUAGAGAGGUUUUCCCAUAUAUACUUAUUACCUUCAUAGCAUCUCUCUCCACCUCCAAUAUUCCUGUGUCUAUAGGACCUGAACUUCAGUAAAUAUUCUGCCACAUUCAUAUGGCUUCUCUUCAGUGGGACAUCUGUGCUGUUUGAUGAGACACAAAAGUUUUUCCACCCUCAUUACAUAAGGAAGAUUUUGAUCUCCCACAGAAAUCCUGUAGUUUUGAGUAUGUUCUGAAUGCUGCUACAUUCCUGUGGUGUUUCUUUUCCAUAGAAACUGCCCACAUGUGAUCAUCACUGAGCUCAGAUGGCAGUUUCUCCCUCGAAGUUUCCCCAUUGCUGCUCCAGGCGGCUUCUCUCAUCCCAGAUGGGCCCAGACACAGACAUGCUGUGUGGACCACAGCCUGCCAGCAUCUUCUCAACACAGCGAUGAGUCGUUACACUUCUGCUUUUCAGCCAAC
Molecule: long non-coding RNA, 1992 nt
Organism: Fukomys damarensis (Damara mole-rat)
Lineage: Eukaryota; Metazoa; Chordata; Mammalia; Rodentia; Bathyergidae
Exons: 5
Source: RefSeq, a predicted model, not a curated record